CCUGCUUUUUAAACUUUAAGAUGAUUCCUGUCUGGAUGAAAGCCCUCCACCGGCAGGCCGAGGCAAACUAAAGAAAAACAAGGUCAGGCUGCAUUUUUUUGGUAAGCACACAGGAAUCAACAAAGAGAUGUUAUAUAACUUCUAUUUAUAUCCUCCUUGCUCACUAUCUGCAGGCAGACAAGAGUCGCUGAGAAGGGAUUUAAUGAGCUCUCUGGGUUUGCUCACCUUCCUGAGCUGGUAGGAACCAGCUUGUUCUCAAAUGCGUCAGUAAAGAAUCUGGCUGUGGGUGGGCGGCCAGGGUAGGUGGACUGAGUGGUUGCCAUGGUGUUUUUUAAUUCCCCUGUCUCUCAG
Molecule: small RNA, 351 nt
Filed under: Prolemur simus (greater bamboo lemur)
Lineage: Eukaryota; Metazoa; Chordata; Mammalia; Primates; Lemuridae
Description: sRNA (ENSPSMG00000011715.1)
Source: RNAcentral